This 439-nucleotide ribosomal RNA is filed under the name uncultured bacterium. Its description in RNAcentral is "partial 16S ribosomal RNA". It matches the Rfam family "Bacterial small subunit ribosomal RNA", at positions 338 to 795 of the family's 1533-position model. The record is from RNAcentral.
CCUACGGGAGGCAGCAGUGGGGAAUAUUGACAAUGGGGGAAACCCUGAUGCAGCGACGCCGCGUGAGUGAAGAAGUAAUUCGUUAUGUAAAGCUCUAUCAGCAGGGAAGAAAAUGACGGUACCUGAGUAAGAAGCCCCGGCUAACUACGUGCCAGCAGCCGCGGUAAUACGUAGGGGGCAAGCGUUAUCCGGAUUUACUGGGUGUAAAGGGGGCGUAGACGGCAGUGCAAGUCUGGAGUGAAAGGCGGGGGCUCAACCCCCGGACUGCUCUGGAAACUGUACGGCUGGAGUGCAGGAGAGGUAAGUGGAAUUCCGAGUGUAGCGGUGAAAUGCGUAGAUAUUAGGAGGAACACCAGUGGCGAAGGCGGCUUACUGGACUGUAACUGACGUUGAGGCUCGAAAGCGUGGGGAGCAAACAGGAUUAGAUACCCGGGUAGUC